This 105-nucleotide microRNA precursor is filed under the name Microtus ochrogaster (prairie vole). Its description in RNAcentral is "miRNA (ENSMOCG00000007626.1)". Lineage: Eukaryota; Metazoa; Chordata; Mammalia; Rodentia; Cricetidae. The record is from RNAcentral.
GGUGUGCCCUUGUUGGAAGAAAUGUGUCACUGGGAAUGGGCUUUGAGGUUUCAGAUGCUUAAGCCAAGCCUCAAGUCUCUCCCUCUUCCUGCUGCCUGCAGAUCC